AGCUGCAUGCUUUUCACAAAAUCCAGAAAGCAUUUAAGAAUUGAACUAGGGGCUGGAAGAAGUGAAAGGGAAGCAUCUAAAAAUGAAAGGAUUUUCAAAGGCGAUUUCUCUACUUUUAUUUGGAAUCAUUUCCCAGUGUGGAAAACCUUUCCUAACAAAAAAAAAGUCUCCAAAUCUGUACACAAGACCAUUGCUUGGAGAAAGGGGAUGGGGAGCCCCCUAACCUCACCAACCACGGAGGAGGAAGGCUGGGAGCCGCGGGAGGAAGAGUAUUCUAGGACAGAAGAAGCAGGAAGAGCAAAGAGGAAAAAUGAAAAGAAGCAAUGCCUGUCAAGAUCCACAAACUUUCUCAGAAAUCUCCAACAGACUUCUACAUAUGUCUCAUUGACCAAAAAUAUCUCACAUGUUCAUCCCUAGCUGCUCAUGGCCCUUUGAAUAAAACCAAGGAUCUGUUGACAAAGACUGGGAGAGUAGAUAUUUGCAAUAUUAGCAGUGUCUACCACACCAACUUCCAGUCAUUCAACUAAGGUCUUUUCUACCAUACC
Molecule: long non-coding RNA, 545 nt
Organism: Pan troglodytes (chimpanzee)
Lineage: Eukaryota; Metazoa; Chordata; Mammalia; Primates; Hominidae
Exons: 3
Source: RefSeq, a predicted model, not a curated record